This 486-nucleotide ribosomal RNA is filed under the name uncultured bacterium. RNAcentral describes it as "partial 16S ribosomal RNA". It matches the Rfam family "Bacterial small subunit ribosomal RNA", at positions 30 to 507 of the family's 1533-position model. The record is from RNAcentral.
AUUGAACGCUGGCGGCAUGCCUUACACAUGCAAGUCGAACGGCAGCACGGGUGCUUGCACCUGGUGGCGAGUGGCGAACGGGUGAGUAAUACAUCGGAACAUGUCCUGUAGUGGGGGAUAGCCCGGCGAAAGCCGGAUUAAUACCGCAUACGAUCUACGGAUGACAGCGGGGGACCUUCGGUCCUCGCGCUAUAGGGUUGGCCGAUAGCUGAUUAGCUAGUUGGUGGGGUAAAGGCCUACCAAGGCGACGAUCAGUAGCUGGUCUGAGAGGACGACCAGCCACACUGGGACUGAGACACGGCCCAGACUCCUACGGGAGGCAGCAGUGGGGAAUUUUGGACAAUGGGCGAAAGCCUGAUCCAGCAAUGCCGCGUGUGUGAAGAAGGCCUUCGGGUUGUAAAGCACUUUUGUCCGGAAAGAAAUCCUUGGCUCUAAUACAGUCGGGGGAUGACGGUACCGGAAGAAUAAGCACCGGCUAACUACGUG